UUAAGCGACUAAGCGUACACGGUGGAUGCCCUGGCAGUCAGAGGCGAUGAAGGGCGUGCUAAUCUGCGAUAAGCGCCGGUAAGGUGAUAUGAACCGUUAUAACCGGCGAUACCCGAAUGGGGAAACCCAGUGUGACUCGUCACACUAUCAUUAACUGAAUCCAUAGGUUAAUGAGGCGAACCGGGGGAACUGAAACAUCUAAGUACCCCGAGGAAAAGAAAUCAACCGAGAUUCCCCCAGUAGCGGCGAGCGAACGGGGAGGAGCCCAGAGCCUGAAUCAGCAUGUGUGUUAGUGGAAGCGUCUGGAAAGGCGCGCGAUACAGGGUGACAGCCCCGUACACAAAAGCGCAUGUGCUGUGAGCUCGAUGAGUAGGGCGGGACACGUGGUAUCCUGUCUGAAUAUGGGGGGACCAUCCUCCAAGGCUAAAUACUCCUGACUGACCGAUAGUGAACCAGUACCGUGAGGGAAAGGCGAAAAGAACCCCGGCGAGGGGAGUGAAAAAGAACCUGAAACCGUGUACGUACAAGCAGUGGGAGCACAGGUUUACCUGUGUGACUGCGUACCUUUUGUAUAAUGGGUCAGCGACUUAUAUUCUGUAGCAAGGUUAACCGAAUAGGGGAGCCGGAGGGAAACCGAGUCUUAAUUGGGCGUUAAGUUGCAGGGUAUAGACCCGAAACCCGGUGAUCUAGCCAUGGGCAGGUUGAAGGUUGGGUAACACUAACUGGAGGACCGAACCGACUAAUGUUGAAAAAUUAGCGGAUGACCUGUGGCUGGGGGUGAAAGGCCAAUCAAACCGGGAGAUAGCUGGUUCUCCCCGAAAGCUAUUUAGGUAGCGCCUCGUGAAUUCAUCUCCGGGGGUAGAGCACUGUUUCGGCUAGGGGGCCAUCCCGGCUUACCAACCCGAUGCAAACUGCGAAUACCGGAGAAUGUUAUCACGGGAGACACACGGCGGGUGCUAACGUCCGUCGUGAAGAGGGAAACAACCCAGACCGCCAGCUAAGGUCCCAAAGUCAUGGUUAAGUGGGAAACGAUGUGGGAAGGCCCAGACAGCCAGGAUGUUGGCUUAGAAGCAGCCAUCAUUUAAAGAAAGCGUAAUAGCUCACUGGUCGAGUCGGCCUGCGCGGAAGAUGUAACGGGGCUAAACCAUGCACCGAAGCUGCGGCAGCGACGCUGAUGCGUUGUUGGGUAGGGGAGCGUUCUGUAAGCCUGUGAAGGUGGCCUGUGAGGGUUGCUGGAGGUAUCAGAAGUGCGAAUGCUGACAUAAGUAACGAUAAAGCGGGUGAAAAGCCCGCUCGCCGGAAGACCAAGGGUUCCUGUCCAACGUUAAUCGGGGCAGGGUGAGUCGACCCCUAAGGCGAGGCCGAAAGGCGUAGUCGAUGGGAAACGGGUUAAUAUUCCCGUACUUGGUGUUACUGCGAAGGGGGGACGGAGAAGGCUAUGUUGGCCGGGCGACGGUUGUCCCGGUUUAAGCGGGUAGGUGUGUGUUCCAGGUAAAUCCGGUUCACUUUAACACUGAGGCGUGACGACGAGGCACUACGGUGCUGAAGCAACAAAUGCCCUGCUUCCAGGAAAAGCCUCUAAGCAUCAGGUAACAUCAAAUCGUACCCCAAACCGACACAGGUGGUCAGGUAGAGAAUACCAAGGCGCUUGAGAGAACUCGGGUGAAGGAACUAGGCAAAAUGGUGCCGUAACUUCGGGAGAAGGCACGCUGACACGUAGGUGAAGUGAUUUACUCAUGGAGCUGAAGUCAGUCGAAGAUACCAGCUGGCUGCAACUGUUUAUUAAAAACACAGCACUGUGCAAACACGAAAGUGGACGUAUACGGUGUGACGCCUGCCCGGUGCCGGAAGGUUAAUUGAUGGGGUCAGCGCAAGCGAAGCUCCUGAUCGAAGCCCCGGUAAACGGCGGCCGUAACUAUAACGGUCCUAAGGUAGCGAAAUUCCUUGUCGGGUAAGUUCCGACCUGCACGAAUGGCGUAAUGAUGGCCAGGCUGUCUCCACCCGAGACUCAGUGAAAUUGAACUCGCUGUGAAGAUGCAGUGUACCCGCGGCAAGACGGAAAGACCCCGUGAACCUUUACUAUAGCUUGACACUGAACAUUGAGCCUUGAUGUGUAGGAUAGGUGGGAGGCUUUGAAGCGUGGACGCCAGUCUGCGUGGAGCCGACCUUGAAAUACCACCCUUUAAUGUUUGAUGUUCUAACGUGGACCCGUAAUCCGGGUUGCGGACAGUGUCUGGUGGGUAGUUUGACUGGGGCGGUCUCCUCCUAAAGAGUAACGGAGGAGCACGAAGGUUGGCUAAUCCUGGUCGGACAUCAGGAGGUUAGUGCAAUGGCAUAAGCCAGCUUGACUGCGAGCGUGACGGCGCGAGCAGGUGCGAAAGCAGGUCAUAGUGAUCCGGUGGUUCUGAAUGGAAGGGCCAUCGCUCAACGGAUAAAAGGUACUCCGGGGAUAACAGGCUGAUACCGCCCAAGAGUUCAUAUCGACGGCGGUGUUUGGCACCUCGAUGUCGGCUCAUCACAUCCUGGGGCUGAAGUAGGUCCCAAGGGUAUGGCUGUUCGCCAUUUAAAGUGGUACGCGAGCUGGGUUUAGAACGUCGUGAGACAGUUCGGUCCCUAUCUGCCGUGGGCGCUGGAGAACUGAGGGGGGCUGCUCCUAGUACGAGAGGACCGGAGUGGACGCAUCACUGGUGUUCGGGUUGUCAUGCCAAUGGCACUGCCCGGUAGCUAAAUGCGGAAGAGAUAAGUGCUGAAAGCAUCUAAGCACGAAACUUGCCCCGAGAUGAGUUCUCCCUGAGACUUAAAGUCUCCUGAAGGAACGUUGAAGACGACGACGUUGAUAGGCCGGGUGUGUAAGCGCAGCGAUGCGUUGAGCUAACCGGUACUAAUGAACCGUGAGGCUUAACCUU
Molecule: ribosomal RNA, 2906 nt
Filed under: Salmonella enterica
Lineage: Bacteria; Pseudomonadati; Pseudomonadota; Gammaproteobacteria; Enterobacterales; Enterobacteriaceae
Description: bacterial LSU rRNA
Rfam family: Bacterial large subunit ribosomal RNA
Source: RNAcentral